Molecule: ribosomal RNA, 253 nt
Filed under: uncultured bacterium
Lineage: Bacteria
Description: partial 16S ribosomal RNA
Rfam family: Bacterial small subunit ribosomal RNA
Source: RNAcentral
UACGUAGGGUGCAAGCGUUGUCCGGAAUUAUUGGGCGUAAAGAGCUCGUAGGCGGUUCGUCGCGUCGGCUGUGAAAACCUGAGGCUCAACCUCAGGCCUGCAGUCGAUACGGGCGGACUUGAGUACUGCAGGGGAGACUGGAAUUCCUGGUGUAGCGGUGAAAUGCGCAGAUAUCAGGAGGAACACCGGUGGCGAAGGCGGGUCUCUGGGCCGAUACUGACGCUGAGGAGCGAAAGCGUGGGGAGCGAACAGG